GCAGCACUGAAAUUGGAAAAAAGUUGACAUGUGCUUCGCUCCAUCUAUAAUUAUGCUUUCCCCAUGUGGCUGUUCUGUGACCUUUCUCAUUGCAGAGGAACUUUUUUUUCAUAACUGGACAAAAAAAAUCUAAUCAACAACAUACAAGCCAUAUAGAAUUGCAAACGGUGUACAACUUCAUGCUGUCAAAUGAGAUUGCAAAACAGAAAAAAAUAAAUAAAAA
This is a long non-coding RNA of Syngnathus acus (greater pipefish), 223 nucleotides long. RefSeq lists it as uncharacterized. The record is from RefSeq and is a predicted model, not a curated record. The transcript is spliced from 2 exons. NCBI's taxonomy places the organism in Eukaryota, Metazoa, Chordata, Actinopteri, Syngnathiformes, Syngnathidae.